GGAGGAGGCAAGCGUUAUCCGGAAUUAUUGGGGGGCGUAAAGAGUCCGUAGGGUGGGUUUAUCAAGUCUGGGGUCAAAGACCGGAGCUUAACUCCGGAACGGCCGUGGAAACUGAGAGACUAGAGACCGGUAGGGGUAGAGGGAAUUCCCAGUGUAGCGGUGAAAUGCGUAGAGAUUGGGAAGAACACCAGUGGCGAAGGCGCUCUACUGGGCCGGGACUGACACUGAGGGACGAAAGCUAGGGGAGCGAAAGGGAUUAGAUACCCCUGUAGUCCUAGCCGUAAACUAUGGAGACUAGGCGUGGCUUGUAUCGACCCGAGCCGUGCCGAAGCCAACGCGUUAAGUCUCCCGCCGGGGGAGUACGCACGCAAAGUGUG
RNAcentral lists this ribosomal RNA (377 nucleotides) under uncultured organism. RNAcentral describes it as "partial 16S ribosomal RNA". It matches the Rfam family "Bacterial small subunit ribosomal RNA", at positions 527 to 896 of the family's 1533-position model. The record is from RNAcentral.